This is a transfer RNA of Camelus ferus (Wild Bactrian camel), 72 nucleotides long. It matches the Rfam family "tRNA". From Rfam's summary of the family: Transfer RNA (tRNA) molecules are approximately 80 nucleotides in length. Their secondary structure includes four short double-helical elements and three loops (D, anti-codon, and T loops). The record is from Rfam. Lineage: Eukaryota; Metazoa; Chordata; Mammalia; Artiodactyla; Camelidae.
GGAGGCGGCGGUCAGUGGUAGAGCAUGUGCUCAGCAUGCACAAGGUCCUGGGUUCAAUCCCCAGUGCCUCCA